RNAcentral lists this ribosomal RNA (484 nucleotides) under uncultured bacterium. RNAcentral describes it as "partial 16S ribosomal RNA". It matches the Rfam family "Bacterial small subunit ribosomal RNA", at positions 30 to 507 of the family's 1533-position model. The record is from RNAcentral.
AUUGAACGCUGGCGGAAUGCUUUACACAUGCAAGUCGAGCGGCAGCGCGGCCUUCGGGCUGGCGGCGAGCGGCGAACGGGUGAGUAAUGCAUCGGAACAUGCCCAGUCGUGGGGGAUAACACUUCGAAAGAAGUGCUAAUACCGCAUACGUCCUGAGGGGGAAAGCGGGGGAUCGCAAGACCUCGCGCGAUUGGAGUGGCCGAUGUCAGAUUAGCUAGUUGGUGGGGUAAAGGCCUACCAAGGCGACGAUCUGUAGCUGGUCUGAGAGGAUGAUCAGCCACACUGGGACUGAGACACGGCCCAGACUCCUACGGGAGGCAGCCGUGGGGAAUUUUGGACAAUGGGGGCAACCCUGAUCCAGCCAUUCCGCGUGAGUGAAGAAGGCCUUCGGGUUUUAAAGCUCUUUCGGCAGGAACGAAACGGUGGGCUCUAACAUAGUCCGCUAAUGACGGUACCUGAAGAAGAAGCACCGGCUAACUACGUG